UACGUAGGGCGCACGCGUUGUCCGGAAUUCUUGGGCGUAAAGGGCUCGUAGGCGGUCUGUUGCGUCAGGAGUGCAAACUCGGGGCUUAACCCCGAGCCUGCUUCUGAUACGGGCAGACUAGAGGUAUGCAGGGGAGAACGGAAUUCCUGGUGUAGCGGUGAAAUGCGUAGAUAUCGGGAGGAACACCAGUGGCGAAGGCGACUACCUGGCCUGUUUCUUGACGCUGAGGCGCGAAAGCUAGGGGAGCAAACGGG
This 254-nucleotide ribosomal RNA is filed under the name uncultured bacterium. Its description in RNAcentral is "partial 16S ribosomal RNA". It matches the Rfam family "Bacterial small subunit ribosomal RNA", at positions 524 to 776 of the family's 1533-position model. The record is from RNAcentral.